GAGUAACACACAUCUUUCCAGGAAAUGUUGCUCCCACAUAACUUGAAUAAUCUCUAUAGCUAAAUAAAUAAAUAUACAUUUAUAAUUUUAAUGAGUGAGUUAAAUGUGAAUCUUCCUGCUUACUUAACUCCGUAGUUUAUAAAAUCCUAGUCUAAAAUGAAGUGAAGUACAGUCCUUCAACAUGUCCUUAACUGUUUCAAAAUUUGAAUAUAUACUGGACUAAAUACUCUUAAUUUCAAAAACAUAUGUAACAGAUAAUAGGUUUUUAGAUCUUUACUAUACUCAUCACAUCUGGUUAAGAUUACUAAAUCUCUGAUUCAAAUAGUAUUUUAAAAAUUUCUUGAAUGAUAAUGACAAAAAGUUUUAAUGUAUGGAUAAAAAUGUGUCACUCUCUUGUACAAAAGUUCAACAGUUUCUUACAGGAAUGACUAUAUUAUUUCUCAGCUAAACAUAAUUUUUCAGUUUUGGGGACGAAUCCAUGUAAUGAUCAUAUAAUAUUAGUCUACGUACUUUACAUAAAUUAUUCCAUUUAACAUUCAAAACAAACCACUGAAAUUGAUAAUAUCUGUAUCUGCAUUAAACAUCUGAUGGGAAAAGUAACUCUCUACAGGUGGCAUGAUUAAUAAGUGCUACUGAAAGAUUUGAACUUAAAAAAUCCAGAGGCAUACUCUCAGCCAUUAAGAUAUAGAUGUUCCACAUAUAUUCUGCCAUCUUUAGAGUUUCCACCCACUUAAAUAUGACAAGAUGUGUGUAAAGAAGCUUGGUACUCAAUUCUUUUCCCUCAUUUGCUCUUCUCAAUUGCCUUAUCAUCCCAUUACAACCUCUAUUCCAUCUCUCUGAUAUUGUUUAUACCUACCCACCCACCCCCAACACUGUUUCUAAGUAUUAACUCCUAAUACCCAACAUUAGUUUUGCAUUUUAGUGUAUAAUUAUUACAUUUUCUUAUCCAAAGUAGUUCCUCCAAAAGAUACUUUAACAAAUCCAUCUCUUCUUAAGAUUUCCACUAAAACUAUACACACUUAUUAUGAGAUCAGUAAUAUUUAUUUUUACUUCAUACUGCCACCCCUUGAUGUGCCCACUCCAUGUCAAAUCUGUUAUCAAGAUCUACUAUUUCACUUAUUCAAUGUUUCUUGUUUCCUUUCACUCCUUCUGAGGUUCGGCCCCCAUAUCUAACUAUAAAUUGCAUACUCUUUGAAAGAACUACAUAAUUUUUUUCAUGACACUAAUCACAUUGUUUUUAAAACCUGGAAUGCUUUUCCACCUUCUUUCUCUACCUACUGAAUUAAACAGGCCCAACUCUGCCUUCAAACUUUCACUUAGCAUUAAAUUUGAUCUUUCUAUAAUCCUCCCCGUCUCUCCUAUAAAUUGUAAACAGGAAGAUAAUUAUAUCUUCCAACAUUAAUUUUACUAUAUCCAUUAUGCCUACUGCGGGAUUUACUCAAAUCAGAUUGUAAGCUUUUACAGAACAGAGAUCAUAAUAAACUAUUGCUAAUCAUUCUCCUUGCAUAUCUAUUCUAGGACCUUACUAAUUGUAGAUCUGUGAAAUGUUUCUACAGUAAAAUAAUAUUGAGAUCUCAAAAGUGGUACUAAGUUCAAACAGAAUGAUUGUACUAUACUUUGUAUAUUUCUAAUGGAAUAAAUUCCUUUUGUGCAAAUCUCACAAAAAUUAAUGCAUAUAGCAAUGUCAGUCAGAUGGCCAAGUUCAGGUACCUGGUAUAUGUCACUCCACAAUAAAAAGCCCAAAACAAAGAAAACACAAAUAUAUUCUGGCAGAGUGCAGUGGGAAUGUGGCGGAGAUGUUGCCAAGCAGAGACCCACAAUGGACUCAUUAAAAAGUGGCUAAGUGCAAAAUAUCUAUCAUUCCAUCUCUCCAGUCAAGGGCAAUUCUGAGUCAAGAGAUAUUACUCUCAGCAGCAAAAAGUACAAUUAAAGUCCCCAACAGUCCCCAGUCAUGCUAAGGACACCUGAAGUAUUUGAUUCUGGAGAAACCUACAGCUUUCAAAGUCUCCAAGUCAACUUUAGAGUAUUUCUGGGGAAUCCCUAUACCCGCAUUGUGCCACAGAAAGAACGUAGCAGUCUAUCUACGUUGUGCUCUCCCCCACUGAGGUUCCUACUGCAAAGUAUCAUCACACACCUGCGGGGGGGGGGGGAGAGCUAUGAAACAGCAGGAUGGUAACCCCCAACAGUUCAGAUGGCCUGGCUUGCAAACUAGCUAUGUGGCCUCAUCAACCCACAUUCACCCCUGGGAACCAGCUUUCCAAGGCACCCAUUAAUUAAUAUUGAUCUGUUUAGGUUUUCUAUGUCUUUUGAUUUAAUUUAGAUGAGUCUUGUGUCUAGAAAUUUGUCAAUAUCAUCUAAAUUUUCAAGUUUAUUAGAAUAUAAAUUUUCCAAAAUAAUCUCUAAUAAUCCUCUAGUUUUCAGAAAUGUCUGUGGUGAUUUCUCCUUUUCAUCUCUUAUUUUGUUGAUCUGGGUCUUCUCUUCGUUAAGUUUGGCUAAAUGUUUAUUGAUCUUGUUUAUCUUCUCAUUAAGGACAGCUCUAGUGCUAUUUUCUGUCUUCUACUGGUUUGACCCUGCUUUUCUAGGAGCCAGUGAUAUAACAUCCAAUUGUUUAUUUGGGAUCUUUUUAAAAAAAAAAUUGUAGGAACUUAAAGUUAUCAACUUUCCUCUGAGAACUGCCUUCAGAGUGUCCCAGAGAUUUUGGUAUGCUGUAUCACCAUUCUUCUUUGAUUCUGAUUUCUCCUCUCAUUUCUUCCAUGAUCCAUAUCUCAUCCAGAAUAGUAUUGUUCAAUCUCCUUAUGUAUUUGGUCUCAAUUAUUUUUUUCUUGCUGUCUAUUUCUAACAUCAUUCCAUUGUGAACUGGUAAGAUGAAAGGGAUUAUACUGAUUUCCUUGUAUUUGCUAAGAUUUGCUUUGUGAACUAAAAUAUGGUCUAUUUUGGAGAAGGUUCCUGUGCUUCUUAAAAGUAAGUGAACCCAGCUCUUAAGUCCAUUUGAUAUAUAGUAAUGCUUAGGUCUGAAUUCUUUACUGACUUUAUGUCUGGAUGACUUGUCUCUUGGUGAUAGGUAAGUUUAAAUCACCCAAUAUUAUUUUACUGGGGUCCACCUGAGAGUUUAUGUGACGAAGUGUUUGUUUUAUGCAAUUAGCUGCUCUGACAUUUGGGAUAUAUAUCUUUACUAUCAUAUUUUUUUUGGAUUGUUCUCUUUAUCAGUAUGUAGAGAGCUUCUUGACUCUAAUGAUUAAUUUUUGCUUGAAAUCUGCUUUUUCAUAUAUCUCCAUUUUCAUCUACUUAUUUUGUUGAUUGGAGUCUUCUCUCUGUUAAGUUUGGCUAAGCGUUUAUUGAUCUUGUUUAUCUUCUCAAUAAAGAGAGCUCUAGUGCUAUUUUCUGUCUUCUACUAGUUUUGGAACUAGUUUGUUCCUACUUUUCCAGGGGCCUGAGAUAUAACAUUAAAUUGUUUAUCUACUCCUGCUUGAUUCAUUUGCAUGGAAUAUCUUCUUCCAUUCUUUUAUUUUCAACUUGUGGAUGAACCUCUUGUAAACAGCACAUAGUUGGAUCUUAUUUUUAAUCCAAUCUGCAAGGCAGAUUGGGAGGUUGAGAAUUAUUAUGGAUAAGAAUUUAUUACUUUCUGUCAUUUGGUUAGUUUCAUAGAUUUAAUUUGGUCUUAAUUUUCACUUGCCUUAUUGUUUUUCCAGUGACCUUUGUCUGUUUGGGUUCUUCAAAUGAGCUUUGUGUAUUCAGGAGCUUGGGUUAGCUUUUUGAGUUCUUCUGUAGUGCUGGCCUGAUGAUCAUGAAUUCCUUUACUUUACAGUUAUUGUGCAAGAUUUUUACUACUUCUUCAAUUCUGAUUGAUAGCUUUGCUGGAUCUAACAAUCUUGGAUGGCAGUUGUUUUCUUUCAGAGCUUGAAUUAUUCCAUGCUAAGUCCUGCUGGAUUUUAGACUCUCUGCUGAGAAGUCAGAAGUGAGUCUUACUGGUUUACUUCUAACUGACCUGACAUUUUUCUCUUGUAGAUUUUAAAAUUCCAUCCUUAUUCUCUAUUAGGUAUUUUGAUUAUUGACAUGUCUUGAAAAGGCUCUGUCUUUUAUUUUUUCCAUUUAGGUUCUUAUAUGCCACUUGUGUGUAGAUGUCUCUUUCCUAAGGUUUGAAAAUUUUUCUUAUUAAAAAAUAAAUAAAAUUUAAAGUUUUUUCAUUAUUUCAUUAAAAAUGUAAUCAAUGCCAUUAGCCUGUAUCUCCAUGUCCUCUUAAAUUCCAAUAACUUUUUGUUUUGUUAUGUCCCAUUGUUCUCGUAUAGUCAAUCAUGGUCUCUCUCACCCUUUCUGUCUGUCUGUCUGUCUGUCUCUCUCUCUCUCUCUCUCUCUCUCUCUCUCACACACACACACACACACAGAGAGAGAGAGAGAGAGAGAGAGAGAGAGAGAGAGAGAGAGAGAGAGAGUUUAUGAGUGUUCAAGUUUAUAUACACUGUCUUUGAGGUCUGAAGUUCUGUAUUCUACAUAAACUAAUGUCAAUGAUACUUUCAACUGAAUUUUUUUUUAUUUAUUGUAUCUUUCAUUUCCAGGAGUUCUGGGUUGAGUUUUUCUCAGGAUCUCUUAUCUCUUCAUUGAAAUAGGCUUUCAGCUGGGUACAGUGGUGCACACCUAUAAUCAGAGUUGCUCAGGAGGCUUAGGCAAGAGGCUCUCUAGUUCAAAGCCAGCCCCAGCAACUAAUGUGUCUCUCAGCAACUUAGCAAGAACCUAUCUCAAAAUAAAAACAGACUGGGGAUGUGGCUCAGUGGUUAAGUACGUGUAUUUUCCCUCUUAAUUCAUCCCUUUCCUUAUAUGUGAGCUCCCUAGGUUGAGGAUUGUAAAUUGUAGAGGGAACCUUGUUUGCCUCUUCUUCCUCUUUUAUGAGUGAGUCUUUGGUAAGUUUUUAACCUUUUCAUAAUUAGUCCUAUGCUUUCAGUAUACCUUAGCUUCAACAUGUAGACUCAACAUAACCCAAGUGUUACUUCCAACCCCCAAUACCUCUUUGAAUGAAGAGAGUGCUGAAAUUAGCAGUAGUAAUUUAAAAGUAAUCAUAUUAUCAACAUAUAUUAUGUAUGUAAUUACUAAUGAUCUCUAUAAUUAUAUUAACCCAGGAGGAACAUGGAUGAGGAGUAAUAUAAUAUAGGCUGAAAUUAUUAGUAAUUAUAUACUAAUAAUAUAAGAAAAUAGAGAAAAGGAAAGAAAUUAGACAUUUGAAAGGAAAAGGGUGGGGAAGGAAGGGAGGCAGAGGUAAAAUGGGAAGAGUAGAUUGGAUUGGCUUCAGAAGAUGAGAUUGAUGGAAUAUAAUAGUAUAGAAGAAAGACUAAGUAUUAGUUAAUAUAAGUCAGUUCAUGCACUAAUAAUUCAAAGAUUCACUUUUAUUUUUGCUUAAGCAUUUGAAAAACAGUCUUUUCUAUCUAUUGUUUGACAGAUGUAAGGAAGAUGUUAAAAUGUAAAUGUCUUUUAAUUCCAGCUCCCAUUCAACCUGACGAAUUUGUUAAGUGAGUGUGUAUGCAGAGUUUAACCUUGCCUAUGCUCCUCCUGGAGAGGAUUGGGGUAAACUGCUUUCCUCUUUCACAAUGGCUUUGUUGUUGUGUUUUGAGGUGAGAGUGCAUCUUGUUGGGAAAAUUAGCCAGCUCCUUUGUCUGCUUUAUCUUUAGACUGACCUGUCUUGAACUGCACUUCUCAUUCCUGGAGUCCCUGUCCAUGUGCUAUGCUUGGGUGCUGGGGAGUUGGUACUUUCAGUCUGAUCUCUCCAGACCCAAAUCCCUGACACCUGUCAACCACUUUUUUUUUAAAAGAGAGAGAGAGAGAGAGAGAAUUUUUAAUAUUUAUUUUUUAGUUUUCGGUGGACACAACAUCUUUGUAUGUGGUGCUGAGGAUCGAACCCGGGCCGCACACAUGCCCAGCGAGCGCGCUACUACUUGAGGCACAUCCCCAGUCCUGUCAACCACUCUUUAUUCCACAGACCCAUCUACCAAUUUUAGAUGAAGUCACCCUUUCUUCUCCUCUCUGCAGAGCCACAACAGGCUCUCAGUCUCUCUUCAAUUCUCAGAUUGGGGGUAGGUUUGGUUACUCGUUGAUCCAUAGAAAAGUAUAGCCUAAGUGGCUAUUUGGCCUUGGUAUUCAGCAAGUCAAGUAUGCUAAGUACAGGACCAAAAAAAAAAAAAAAAAAAAACAGGUGCGAAUAAAAUCAAUGGAAAAAAUAGUAAUUUCUGAAAAAUAACGAGUGACCAGCUGAAAGAAUUUGAGGUCUGAUCAAUGAGUCCUUUCAAGAUGAUCGUGUUUUGCCAGUUUCAACCAGCUGUGCUAGGGCUACUUACCUAACUUUGUUAGAGAUCACUAGUUCCCUCUCCAGCCAGGGACUCCCAGGCUUUCUACCCAAUAAGUACAGCCUAAUUUUUCUGAGUUUAUUAUUUGGUCCUAUUGUUAAGCCCAGUGGGAAAGUGUCUUCUUGAGUGAGCAGUACUUAGCAUGACUGGCACUGUCACCAUCUGUUGCUUUUUUUUUUUUCUAUUCUAAAAACCUUUUUUUUUUUUCCACUUUCUUUUGGAUACUAGCACACUGAAUUGCCUACCUGCUUUUUUUCUUUUUCCAUACUUCAAAACUGCUAAUUUAAUUUACUCUUAGAGACCUGUUUCCUCCAUUCCACCAUCAUAGAGCCAUGUGUGCUAUUUGAUUAUACAGCUUUGCAUUAUAUUUUCAAAUGGGUUACUGGUGGCUCCAACUUUGUUCUUUUGGGUCAAUAUUGACUUGUGAUGCCUCCAGUUUUGUUCUUUUGGAUCAAUAUUUGCUAUUUGGGGUCUUUUGUCAUUUUUUGGGAAUAAUAGGACUGGUGGUUCUUGUCUGUGAAGAAUGUCAUUGGCAUUUUGUUAAGGAUUCCACAGAAUAUGCAGAUCACUUUAGAUAGUAUGACAUUUUAACAACAGUAAUUCUUUUAAUUAAUUAACAGGGGUAAACUUCUGUUUAUUUUUGUCUUCUUUAAUUUCUUUUAACAAUGCUUCAUAGUUUUAGUAUAGAUAUCUUCCACCAUCUUGUUAAAUUUACUCCUAAGCAU
RNAcentral lists this long non-coding RNA (7054 nucleotides) under Marmota monax (woodchuck). Lineage: Eukaryota; Metazoa; Chordata; Mammalia; Rodentia; Sciuridae. The record is from RNAcentral.